UACGGAGGGGGCUAGCGUUGUUCGGAAUUACUGGGCGUAAAGCGCGUGUAGGCGGGUCCUUAAGUCGGGGGUGAAAGCCCGGGGCUCAACCUCGGAACGGCCUUCGAUACUGAGGACCUGGAGGCUGGGAGAGGUGAGCGGAAUUCCGAGUGUAGAGGUGAAAUUCGUAGAUAUUCGGAGGAACACCAGAGGCGAAGGCGGCUCACUGGACCAGGACUGACGCUGAGACGCGAAAGCGUGGGGAGCAAACAGG
RNAcentral lists this ribosomal RNA (253 nucleotides) under uncultured bacterium. RNAcentral describes it as "partial 16S ribosomal RNA". It matches the Rfam family "Bacterial small subunit ribosomal RNA", at positions 524 to 776 of the family's 1533-position model. The record is from RNAcentral.